GCCGGGAGCCCGAGGAGGAGCCCGAGCAUCCCGGCGCCGGAGACAGCCGGAGAACGGGCGGCGAGGCUUCAUGGGCUGCUCACGCCAACAUGGUGCUCGCCCUCAACGGCAGCCACCUCUACGGUAACCUGCGGCCCCUGGUCCUGGAGGAGCCGCGGGCGCUGGGCGGCGGCAGGAUGAUCGCGGGCUCCUGGCCCCCGCGCAGCCUGGCCAAGCUCGGCCCGUCGCCCCCCCCGUCGGCGCUGCCCACGGCGAGCCCCCUCCCCGCCAACGACUCCCAGUGCGGGGAGCAGAUCCUCAGCUACGGCAGCGCGGAGAAAGUUCUCAUCGGGGCCGUGCUCUGCCUCAUCACCCUGCUGACCAUCGCCGGCAACUGCCUGGUGGUGAUCUCCGUCUGCUUCGUGAAGAAGCUGCGGCAGCCCUCCAACUAUCUCAUCGUCUCGCUGGCCCUGGCCGAUCUCUCGGUGGCCCUGGCCGUCAUGCCCUUCGUCAGCGUCACCGACCUUAUCGGCGGCGAGUGGAUCUUCGGCCGCCUCUUCUGCAACGUCUUCAUCGCCAUGGAUGUCAUGUGCUGCACGGCCUCCAUCAUGACCCUGUGUGUGAUAAGUAUCGACAGGUACCUGGGAAUAACCAGACCUCUCACCUAUCCUGUAAGGCAGAAUGGGAAGUGUAUGGCCAAAAUGAUCCUGUGUGUCUGGCUUUUAUCUGCCUCUAUCACCAUACCCCCGCUCUUCGGCUGGGCCCAGAAUGUAAAUGAUGAAAAGGUCUGUCUCAUCAGUCAAGAUUUUGGCUACACCAUUUACUCCACUGCAGUUGCAUUUUAUAUUCCAAUGUCAGUGAUGCUUUUCAUGUACUAUCAGAUUUAUAAAGCUGCCAGGAGGAGUGCUGCUAAACACAAGUUUACUGGUUUUCCCCGUCUGGAAGAAAUGGAAGGGAUUUCUGUGAAUGGACUUGUAAAACUGCACAAGGAAUCCGAGGAAUGUACUAACUUUUCACGACUCCUAAAGCAUGACAAGAAAAACAUUUCCAUCUUUAAAAGAGAACAGAAAGCUGCCACCACCCUUGGGAUUAUUGUUGGGGCUUUCACAGUCUGCUGGCUGCCCUUUUUCCUCCUCUCUACUGCAAGGCCCUUCAUCUGUGGUACAGCAUGCAGCUGCAUCCCACUGUGGGUGGAGAGAACAUUUCUAUGGCUGGGCUAUGCAAACUCUCUCAUUAACCCUUUUAUCUAUGCCUUCUUCAACCGGGACCUGAGGACAACCUAUCGCAACCUGCUGCAGUGCAGAUACAGGAACAUCAACCGCAAACUCUCGGCCGCAGGGAUGCACGAGGCUCUGAAGCUUGCAGAAAAGCCAGAAUUCGUCCUGUAAGGUCACUCAUCCUCUGCUGUGAUCGUUUGUUGUUUUGUCACACUAGCUUUUCCCCCACAGGUUCGAAAGAAGUGUUGUAGGAAGAACCAGGCUGCUUGAGCAGUGUCAAUGCAGGCAUCAAGGAACAAGGUAGAACCCACCAGUCCUAACCAGCCUGGAAAAACAGCACCACCACCCAAAGAAUUUGGGUGUAAGAGGAGUGAAGGAUGAAAGUAAAGUGUAGUGAAGGAUGUUUGAGCUGUUAGUCAGGAAAAGGCAAAGUUGGCCUAACCCAUUUGUUCGGCACAAAAGAUGUUUAGCAGGUCUGAAUGUUGGAUGCACCUUGCAGAGAUUCAUUGCUGUAAUAAAGACCUGAAAAUGGUGAAAAGUUCAUUUCCUUCCACUUUAGUAUUACAAAAAUAAAUCAUUAAAGAAGCUGAAUCAAAGAACUUCUAUUGCUUAGAAAUAUUCUUUAUUGUAAAACCCCAUACAUUCAUUAAAUAUUAAUUUACUGGAUUGCCUAGAAAUGAACUAUGUUGUGAAAUUGAAUAUGGCCUUUGCACAGCAACUCUGGCACUGAAAGAAUAUGUUGCACUUCCAAUGUGGUUAUAAGAGUUUGAGUAAAGUCACAUGGACCAGCAUCUUCACUGCAUACAGCCAUGCAGCACAGUUAGCUGCAGUGCUGCUGUGCAAAUCACACCAGAAAUUGACAUUUGCCCAGCUGUCACUAAAGGCAAUUGCUUUCCUCUGGGAAAACAUCCUGCAGGAGUCCAGCUUUCCUCUGCCAUCUGUUUCAGGAGAAGUCCUGAUUUCUCCAGGGAAAAAGAGUCAUGACCAAAUGUGCUUCAAAGCAGCCAGAAAAAGUCAAGCCAGAACAGGAAGAAGAAAAAUGAAGAGUUGGCUUCCAAAGAAGUGAAUAGAUUUCUGAAAUGUACUUCAUCUUCCUUUGAUGGGAAUGUGCUAAAAAUAUUCCAUGAACUCAAUACAUUACAUUAAAUAUAUUUCUAUUGGAAGUACUCACAUCCUAUUUGUUAUGGAGGAAAGUCCUGUUACAUACAAAUGAAAAUAGUUUUCUGCCUGAGAAAGCCAAAUUAUUUCAGCAAUAAGUAUGUGGGGUGGGGAGAAUGCCACUAGAACUCAAAGCUAAAGCAUUGUACAGAUUUCCAGCACAUUAAACUAUGUAGGAGAGCAUUUGUAUGUUUACCAUACUUGUGGAUCCUAACAUUGGUAUUCAUAUUCAGGGAUUGCCAGUGAUACUGAAUGUAUUUUGCUGUACUAAAAAAAGGAGGUUUUCAGGCAAAUGCUGUCUCUGUGAAUGCUUUCAGAGCUUGUGUUCAAGAAAUGCUGUACACCUGCAAUGGGACUGAAAAUGACAAUAAAAGACCAAUUUUUGUUAAAGACAUCUGUUGUAUUAAGUAAAAGUCUGUUACUUGUUAACAUAGAUGUGGUUGGUUCUCCCAGACUUUUGUAAAAAAGCUGCUUUCAGUUACACAGUGACAAAAGUUAAGGGACAAAAUUAGAGUGCACAUUUGUUACACCACAGCUAAUUUACAAAUAUGAUUGCUUUGCUUUAAUGCCAUUUUCAUGACCUACCAAUUUAUAAAUUUCUGUCAUUUCAACUCAAAUCUGUAUAAAAGGCUGGAGAACUUCUGCAACACCUUGCUUUUUGUCUUACUUUUAGCUAGAAAGAGAAUUAUGUGGGAUUUUUUUUUUUUAAUGUGUUUAAGAGGUGUUAUUCCUGCCAAUGAUUUGUUAUAAUUAAAACAGAUCCCUUUGGCUUGACAAAACCUGUAUAGGUGAGUAUAAAUGACCAUUUUUCCCAGGGAAAACUGACUCAAGGCAUUGAUCCUUAAGCAUAGCUCUUAACUUUUUUUUUUUAAGCUUGUAAUAUUAAUUUCCCUUCAGAGUUUCCAGACUAUGCAGUUAUACAAUGCACAAUGCAGAAGCAUAUCCCAUUCCCAAAGUUUCAAAGGUACACCUUGAUGAGCACUUGCCUUAUUUCCAUAGCUGUAUUCUUUAUGGUAACUUAAUCCCUUACUUGCAGUUCAACCAAAAUGCUGCUGGUAAAUCACCCAGUGGCUACAUUUACCAUUGGGGCUUCAAUUUCCUUUGUUUAAAUUAAUACAAAAUUUCACCAUAGCUGCCUAAAUAAGGAGUCAGACAUAGCAGAACAGGCCAAUUAAUUUCUUAUUAGGGGAUUAGCAUGGGAAACAAAUCAAAUAUACAUUGAGCCUAUGUAAAACCUAGAACAGAGAGCCUAAUCCUUCCUUUAUACACAAUCCUGGCACCCUAAGAUACUCCUGUGGUUACCUGAGAGCAUCAGAGUGGCAGAUUUUCAUUGCACUGGGCAGCAAGGCUCAUUUCAGCAUUUUACUGAUAAAAGUACUCACUGUGAACUCUGCAUCUGAAACAAAAUGAGUUUUACAGUUUAUUUUUUUUUCCAAAGGGAAUGA
Catharus ustulatus (Swainson's thrush) is the source of this 3799-nucleotide RNA transcript. It is a transcript of the gene named 5-hydroxytryptamine receptor 7, with no coding region annotated. The record is from RefSeq and is a predicted model, not a curated record. The transcript has 4 exons. Lineage: Eukaryota; Metazoa; Chordata; Aves; Passeriformes; Turdidae.